GUCCCAUUUCUUCCGAUGUGUGGAAGUCUGCCUCUGUGAGCUGCGAGCUCCGGUCAAGCCACGCUGUCAGCACCCUGGUGAGGUACUGGUCGCGUGUGCGGUAGGCCCCCGGUCCCUUGAUGCGGCUUUUCGUGCCCGACUUUUGAAAGAAAGGCAUCUGCGGGUUCAGCAAGGUGUCAGGAGGUUGUGCUUGUCGCCUGUUGUAG
Molecule: non-coding RNA, 206 nt
Organism: Pelobates cultripes (western spadefoot toad)
Lineage: Eukaryota; Metazoa; Chordata; Amphibia; Anura; Pelobatidae
Source: the annotation of a GenBank genome assembly